GAUGAACGCUGGCGGCGUGCUUAACACAUGCAAGUCGAACGAAGCACUUUAUUUGAUUUCCUUCGGGACUGAUUAUUUUGUGACUGAGUGGCGGACGGGUGAGUAACGCGUGGGUAACCUGCCUUGUACAGGGGGAUAACAGUUGGAAACGGCUGCUAAUACCGCAUAAGCGCACAGCAUCGCAUGAUGCAGUGUGAAAAACUCCGGUGGUAUAAGAUGGACCCGCGUUGGAUUAGCUAGUUGGUGAGGUAACGGCCCACCAAGGCGACGAUCCAUAGCCGACCUGAGAGUGGGACCGGCCACAUUGGGACUGAGACACGGCCCAAACUCCUACGGGAGGCAGCAGUGGGGAAUAUUGCACAAUGGGCGAAAGCCUGAUGCAGCGACGCCGCGUGAGCGAAGAAGUAUUUCGGUAUGUAAAGCUCUAUCAGCAGGGAAGAUAAUGACGGUACCUGACUAAGAAGCACCGGCUAAAUACGUG
RNAcentral lists this ribosomal RNA (481 nucleotides) under uncultured bacterium. RNAcentral's name for it is "partial 16S ribosomal RNA". It matches the Rfam family "Bacterial small subunit ribosomal RNA", at positions 28 to 507 of the family's 1533-position model. The record is from RNAcentral.